Molecule: long non-coding RNA, 364 nt
Organism: Calypte anna (Anna's hummingbird)
Lineage: Eukaryota; Metazoa; Chordata; Aves; Apodiformes; Trochilidae
Exons: 3
Source: RefSeq, a predicted model, not a curated record
AAAAAGGAGGUCUGAGUCAUCCUUUUAGCUGCAGAAGCCAGGCAACUAAUUUGCAAUACACCAUCUUCACAGAGCCUGCCUUUUAGAUGAUGUUCAUUAAGGAAGUCUCUGUUUUGCAGGUGACUACUUGUCUCAGUAAUCCACAAGGAAAUAUUGAAGGAUCUUCACUUUCUCCCUGAAUGGAACAAGAAAAGUUUUCAAAGCUUGAAAACAUUCUGGACAUUCAUUCUAACCAUUUCUGAACUGUAAUUGUCUUAAGAUACCAUCUUGUAGAAGCUGACUAGUGAAACUUACAAAAUACCUGCCAGAUCAUGUUCAACAAAGAAGAUCUACAGUGUUUAUUUUUAUUAUACAUUUUCCUAGU